Molecule: ribosomal RNA, 508 nt
Filed under: uncultured bacterium
Lineage: Bacteria
Description: partial 16S ribosomal RNA
Rfam family: Bacterial small subunit ribosomal RNA
Source: RNAcentral
AUUGAACGCUGGCGGCAUGCCUUACACAUGCAAGUCGAACGGCAGCGGGGGAGAAGCUUGCUUUUCCUGCCGGCGAGUGGCGAACGGGUGAGUAAUACAUCGGAACGUGCCCUGUCGUGGGGGAUAACUAGUCGAAAGAUUAGCUAAUACCGCAUACGACCUGAGGGUGAAAGGGGGGGACCGCAAGGCCUCAUGCUAUAGGAGCGGCCGAUGUCUGAUUAGCUCGUUGGUGGGGUAAAGGCCUACCAAGGCGACGAUCAGUAGCUGGUCUGAGAGGACGAUCAGCCACACUGGGACUGAGACACGGCCCAGACUCCUACGGGAGGCAGCAGUGGGGAAUUUUGGACAAUGGGCGAAAGCCUGAUCCAGCAAUGCCGCGUGUGUGAAGAAGGCCUUCGGGUUGUAAAGCACUUUUGUCCGGAAAGAAAUGGCUCUGGUUAAUACCUGGGGUCGAUGGCGGUACCGGAAGAAUAAGGACCGGCUAACUACGUGCCAGCCGCCGCGGUAA